Molecule: ribosomal RNA, 292 nt
Filed under: uncultured prokaryote
Description: partial 16S ribosomal RNA
Rfam family: Bacterial small subunit ribosomal RNA
Source: RNAcentral
GUGCCAGCCGCCGCGGUAAUACGGAGGAUGCGAGCGUUAUCCGGAUUUAUUGGGUUUAAAGGGUGCGUAGGCGGUUUGUUAAGUCAGCGGUGAAAUCUAGAGGCUCAACCUCGAAACUGCCGUUGAAACUGGCGAACUUGAGUGUAGAUGAGGUAGGCGGAAUUCGUGGUGUAGCGGUGAAAUGCAUAGAUAUCACGAGGAACUCCAAUUGCGAAGGCAGCUUACUAAGGUACAACUGACGCUGAAGCACGAAAGCGUGGGUAUCAAACAGGAUUAGAAACCCCUGUAGUCC